UUUUUUUUUUACCUUUUAGACAAAAGUUUUGAGUUGUGACAAGUUCUUGAGGUCUGAGUGAUUCAACAUUCUGGUCAGGUGUGGCAGAAAAGGACAAAGAUCAGACAGUGUGACCAGCACACAGACACUCCUUCAGCCAGUGACUGUUAAAAUCCAUCUUAAAAUGCAGCUUUUUUUUUCCAGCUGACAUGAUGCCAGAGAUGACAAGAAAAAGGCGAAAACGAGCUGCCAAGUGCUGGAUGCUGCGUUUCGGUUAAAAGAUUAAGCCCAGGUUCGUCACAUCUGGCUCAUCCAUCUGCGAAAUUUGUUUGGCUGCUGAGAUGUUGAUGAAGUCGUUGGUUUGAGUAACCAGAGAACGUCUGGUCAUGCUGAGCAAUCUUCUGGAGGAAGUUCAUUUGCCAUGUCUUAUUUCCAGAGGUGGACGUAUGCUAUAGACAAAGAAGACAUCUCCAUUUCAUCGAUGGCGAUCUCGAUGUCAAACGAUUUUGAGAUGAAAUCCUCACAUCCAUUGUUAUCCAGUUCAUUCGCCACCGUCAUUUGAUGUUUCACAAGGCAACAUGAACCUUCAUGUCUCCAGAUUUUGCUUUGUCCUUGUGUAAGGACAUGUCAAGCAUGUCUGGAGAAACCUCGAAGGCCAGGUUCAUCGCAUCUGGUUCGUUACACCUGGUUCGUCCAUCUGCCAAUUUUGUUUGCGUUCAGCUGCAGAGAUGUUGAAGUUGUUGGUUUGAGCAGCCAGAGAAUAUCUGCUUAACGUGAAGAAUCUUCUGAGGGAAGUUCGUUUGCCAUGUUCUUACUUAGACCUCAGUCUAAGAGCAGAAUGGCGUCCGAAUCAGGUCCAGUGGUCGACUACUCACAUUGGAUGGACGCUGGUAAGACAGAGGAUGGCCCCUUCCAUUUUUGAAUCUUAUUUUCAGCUGUCCAGAGGUAUGCUGCAGAAAAAGAUGUCUUCAUUUCAUCGAUGGCAAUCUCAAUCCCCAACGAUUUCAAGAUGAAAUCCUCACACCCGUUGUUCCCAUUGUUAUCCUGUUCAUUCGCCACCAUCUUGUCCUGUUUCACAAGACAACAUGAAUUUGUAUUGUCCUUGUCUAACAGCUGGAAACGUUUCUCCAGACAUGUCAAACAUCUGGAUGUCUGACAACAUGAUCCCAUUCCUCUGAAAUGUCCAACUUCACCCAGUCCUUCAGGAAGAGUGGGACAGCAUUUCUCAAGCAGCAUCGACCAUUUCAUCAACUCUCAGCGUUGUAAAUAUAUGGCGAUGCAAACUAUGGAGCCUCUCGUUACUGACGUGAGAUUUCUGGGCCGUAUAAAUUAUAAUUUCCAACACUCUUGGUCAUUUAAUGACGUCCACGUUGUAGAGAUGCUGUGUUGGAACAAUAAAUCCUAAUCCUCCAAUCUUUAAAAAAAAAAAGGAAGACACUUUCCUUCCUCAUAAAGCUUUUAGUAAUUAGAUUUUUGAAUCGUGCUGUUUACUGUGUUGCAGUUUGUUUCUCUACUGCCUUUUGUUGACGAGUUGAAGACUCGUGCAUCUUUGCCCAAGGACACACCUGUCCUCUCUGGCUCUAAACCAAACUCCACAGGGUUCCUUUAACAUCCAGCUUCUUUCUGAGUGAAACAGAGCAAAGCUCCACGUGUCAGUAAGUGGACCUUGAGUUUGUGUUUGUGUUGUACCAGCUGCUGUUUGGAAGGUCAUGGACAAGAAACCUUGAAGGUGCACCCUGAGCAAAGUCUAUCUGCUGAUGAAGACGGUGUAAAAGAACAGAACAGACAUUCUGUUGCAGGACUACUUGAAGAGCUUGUCACAGAAAAGCUGAAGAAGAGUGACUCCACAUGGAAACCAGAGGAUCUCAGAGGGUGAGCUGUGCUGCUGCAGAGAUAAACCUCCGUUAUCUCCCCUCACUGCUGCUGCAGAGGUCCUCGCUGGAGAUUAACCUGCUGCACGGAGCUGAGGAAGGUCUUCCAGGAGACAUCUCGCUCAGUUCCUCGGUGCAAAUGAAGUGCGGUUAAGCAGAUUUGGAGGCGUGUGAUCUCAGGAAGACUUGAAGAGGAACUGUGUGGAGGCUUUGAUGUGAAGAAACGGAUCAGAGCCGAAUCAGACGAGCGGCCCGGAGGGAAGCUCAGAGAAAAGACGGAAUAUUGAAGUUCUUUCAGAGCAACAGAAUGAACUUAUUAACCGACACAUGGGUCCAUGGAAUUUACAUGUUUUAUUCUUUUAUGAUGAAGCUUGUUUGUGAAGAAACUUGUACUUUAUUAUGAAGACUUUAGACUCAACAUCUUGGCUUGUUAAUAUCUAGUUUUGUUUAUGUUUUGGUACGUUAAUAUUCAAGUUUUUUUAUGCGUUUGUAUGUUAAUGUUCAGAUUUUUAUGUUUUGAUAUAACAAAAUCCAGGUUUUUGCUUUUUUAUUAGACUAACAUGCAGGUUUUAAAGUCUUGGUACAAUAAUGUCAAGGUUCUUGAUGUUUUUUAUGCUAAUAUCCAGGAUUUUCAUGUAUUGUUACAUUGCUAUCCAGGUUUUUUGAUGUUUUUGUAUGUUAAUAUUGAGAUUUUUAUGGUUUGGUACUUUAAUAUCGAAGUUUAUGGUGUUCUAAUCUGGUAAUAUCCAGGUGUUAAAGUCCUGGGACAAGAAUAUCAGGGUUCUUCAUGCUUUGUUAUGCUAAUAGCCAGGAUUUUCAUGUAUUGGUACAUUUUUAUCCAAGUUUUUUUUUUUAAUGUUUUAUCUUGUUAAUGUCUGGGGUUUAUGUUUGGUAUGUUACUAUCCAGGUUGCUUUUUUUAUGAAACUAAUAUCCAGGUUUUAAAGUUUUGGUACAAUAACAUUAAGGUUCUUGAUGUUUUGGUACAUUCAUAUCCAGGUUUUUGAUGUUCUAGUAUGUUAAUAUCCAGGUUUUUGCUUUUUUAAUAGACUAAUAUCCAGGUUUUAAAGUCUUAGUACAGUAAUAUCAAGAUUCAUGAUGCUUUGUUAUGCUAAUAUCCAGGAUUUUCAUGUAUUGGUACACUACUAUCUAGGUUUUUUAUGCAUUUGUACAUUUAUGUCUAGGUUUUUCAUCUGUUGGUACACUUCUAUCCAGUGUCAUAGUAUAGUAUGUUGUUCAAAAAAUGUUAAUUAAAAAUGUUGAAUAAUGAGCUUAAAAGUCUGUAUCUCAGGAUAUUUUUCUCGCUGCAUAUAUUUUACCCACAGUCCCUUAUUGUCAAAACACUUCAGUCUGCUGCCAUAAAUAUCCAAUAUUUUGGGAGAAUGUUGUUUGUACAUCAAAUAAUCCUUUUCAAUUUGAAAAUCCCUUAUGUUCUGUUGAUCUGAACUACUUCUCUUACCCGUUUUCUAAAAUUUCUAAAACACAUGUUGGCUGAUUUUAAUAUAAUAUUAAGAGCACAUCACCCGUGAUCAGAUCAGUCGGUGUGUUUGCUGGAAGCCGGAAUGGAAAAAUGAAUCCUGGCGUCAACAGCAGCCACGGUGGAUCCGUGGAUUUCGUAUUUAUUCUGUCCAUCUGUCCCGAGCUUCGCUGACACAUCGACAAUCUGUAAAGCCUUUGCAGAACAGAUGACACCGACUGACUCAGCUCACAAACACAGAGGAAAGUUUUCACUUGUCUUCGUCCAGGGAAAAGUUUUUUUCUUUCAGUUUUCAGUGUUCCAGGUUUUUGAGGCUUUGGUGGGUUAGUAGCCAGGUUUUUGACAUUUUGAUAUGUGAAUCUGUGGGCUUUCAACUUUUUUUGGCAUGUUCAUAUCCAGGUUUUUGACAUUUUGGUGUUCUAAUACCCAUUUUUUUAAGGUUUUUAUAUGGCGUUUUUUUGGACAAAAUUCAUGAUGAUUUUUUUUCAAAGAAAACCUUACCAUAGUGUUUUUCACAGCCUACCUUACAUUA
Acanthochromis polyacanthus (spiny chromis) is the source of this 3857-nucleotide long non-coding RNA. RefSeq lists it as uncharacterized. NCBI's taxonomy places the organism in Eukaryota, Metazoa, Chordata, Actinopteri, Pomacentridae. The transcript has 3 exons. The record is from RefSeq and is a predicted model, not a curated record.